AUGCAAGUCGAACGAACCGCGACUAGGUGCUUGCACUUGGUCAAGGUGAGUGGCGAACGGGUGAGUAACACGUGGGUAACCUACCUCAUAGUGGGGGAUAACAGUCGGAAACGACUGCUAAUACCGCAUAGGACAUGGAAUCACAUGAUUCAGUGAGGAAAGGUGGCGCAAGCUAUCGCUAAGAGGUGGACCCGCGGUGCAUUAGCUAGUUGGUAGGGUAACGGCCUACCAAGGCGAUGAUGCAUAGCCGACCUGAGAGGGUGAUCGGCCACAUUGGGACUGAGACACGGCCCAAACUCCUACGGGAGGCAGCAGUAGGGAAUCUUCCGCAAUGGACGCAAGUCUGACGGAGCAACGCCGCGUGAGUGAAGAAGGUCUUCGGAUCGUAAAGCUCUGUUGUUAGAGAAGAACAGCGCAUAGAGUAACUGUUAUGCGUGUGACGGUAUCUAACCAGAAAGCCACGGCUAACUACGUGCCAGCAGCCGCGGUAAUACGUAGGUGGCGAGCGUUGUCCGGAUUUAUUGGGCGUAAAGGGAGUGUAGGCGGUCUUUUAAGUCUGAUGUGAAAGCCCACGGCUCAACCGUGGAGGGUCAUUGGAAACUGGGAGACUUGAGUGCAGAAGAGGAGAGCGGAAUUCCAUGUGUAGCGGUGAAAUGCGUAGAUAUAUGGAGGAACACCAGUGGCGAAGGCGGCUCUCUGGUCUGUAACUGACGCUGAGGCUCGAAAGCGUGGGGAGCAAACAGGAUUAGAUACCCUGGUAGUCCACGCCGUAAACGAUGAGUGCUAAGUGUUGGAGGGGUUCCACCCUUCAGUGCUGGAGUUAACGCAAUAAGCACUCCGCCU
Molecule: ribosomal RNA, 843 nt
Filed under: uncultured Abiotrophia sp.
Lineage: Bacteria; Bacillati; Bacillota; Bacilli; Lactobacillales; Aerococcaceae
Description: bacterial SSU rRNA
Rfam family: Bacterial small subunit ribosomal RNA
Source: RNAcentral